GAUGAACGCUGGCGGCGUGCCUAAUACAUGCAAGUCGAGCGAACAGACGAGGAGCUUGCUCCUCUGACGUUAGCGGCGGACGGGUGAGUAACACGUGGAUAACCUACCUAUAAGACUGGGAUAACUUCGGGAAACCGGAGCUAAUACCGGAUAAUAUAUUGAACCGCAUGGUUCAAUAGUGAAAGACGGUUUUGCUGUCACUUAUAGAUGGCUCCGCACCGCAUGAGCUAGUUGGUGAGGUAACGGCUUAACAAGGCAACGAUGCGUAGCCGACCUGAGAGGGUGAUCGGCUACACUGGAUGUGAGACACGGUCCACACUCCUACGGGAGGCAGCAGUAGGGAAUCUUCCGCAAAGGGCGAAAGCCGGACGGAGCAACGCCGCGUGAGUGAUGAAGGUCUUCGGAUCGUAGAACUCUGUUAUCAGUGAAGAACAAAUGUGUAAGUAACUAUGCACGUCUUGACGGUACCUAAUCAGAAAGCCACGGCUAACUACGUG
Molecule: ribosomal RNA, 497 nt
Filed under: uncultured bacterium
Lineage: Bacteria
Description: partial 16S ribosomal RNA
Rfam family: Bacterial small subunit ribosomal RNA
Source: RNAcentral